GUAUAGGGGAGCCGCAGGGAAACCGAGUCUUAACUGGGCGUUAAGUUGCAGGGUAUAGACCCGAAACCCGGUGAUCUAGCCAUGGGCAGGUUGAAGGUUGGGUAACACUAACUGGAGGACCGAACCGACUAAUGUUGAAAAAUUAGCGGAUGACUUGUGGCUGGGGGUGAAAGGCCAAUCAAACCGGGAGAUAGCUGGUUCUCCCCGAAAGCUAUUUAGGUAGCGCCUCGUGAACUCAUCUUCGGGGGUAGAGCACUGUUUCGGCUAGGGGGCCAUCCCGGCUUACCAACCCGAUGCAAACUACGAAUACCGAAGAAUGUUAUCACGGGAGACAC
RNAcentral lists this ribosomal RNA (335 nucleotides) under Stenotrophomonas sp. M37. Its description in RNAcentral is "partial 23S ribosomal RNA". It matches the Rfam family "Bacterial large subunit ribosomal RNA", at positions 655 to 987 of the family's 2925-position model. Lineage: Bacteria; Pseudomonadati; Pseudomonadota; Gammaproteobacteria; Lysobacterales; Lysobacteraceae. The record is from RNAcentral.